RNAcentral lists this RNase P RNA (324 nucleotides) under Christensenellaceae bacterium. RNAcentral's name for it is "RNase P RNA component class A". It matches the Rfam family "Bacterial RNase P class A". Rfam says of the family: Ribonuclease P (RNase P) is a ubiquitous endoribonuclease, found in archaea, bacteria and eukarya as well as chloroplasts and mitochondria. Its best characterised activity is the generation of mature 5'-ends of tRNAs by cleaving the 5'-leader elements of precursor-tRNAs. Lineage: Bacteria; Bacillati; Bacillota; Clostridia; Christensenellales; Christensenellaceae. The record is from RNAcentral.
UGAGGCAGCGAAAUGGUCGCAUGCAUUGCAUGAGGAAAGUCCGAGCACCGAAGGGCAGAGUGCCAGAUAACAUCUGGUGGAGGCGACUCCAAGGAAAGUGCAACAGAGAUAUACCGCCGAUUUUUCGGUAAGGGUGGAAAGGUGCGGUAAGAGCGCACCGGCGGCAUGGCGACUUGUCCGUCCUGUAAACCCCACUUGGUGCAAGAUAACUAAAAGCGUAGGCUGCCCGCCCAGCUUUUAACGUUCGCUUGAGCGUAUUGGCGACAAUGCGCCUAGACAGAUGACCAUUCACGACAGAACUCGGCUUACUGCUGCGCUCAAUAC